RNAcentral lists this long non-coding RNA (626 nucleotides) under Heterocephalus glaber (naked mole-rat). Its description in RNAcentral is "lncRNA (ENSHGLG00100045892.1)". The record is from RNAcentral. Lineage: Eukaryota; Metazoa; Chordata; Mammalia; Rodentia; Bathyergidae.
GUUGGGACCCAGAGAGCAAGAGAGUGCUCCCCGGCGUCACCCUGCCCACUGGGGACACUCUCAUGCUCACCUUCACAGUCAGCUCCAAUAUCAAGUCUGUUAAUCCUUUCUCCAUUUGCCCUCUACCGCUGCAGAACUCUGAGUGAUCCCUGUGCUUCUGUAGCUGGUCCCUCUGUCUGCGAGCUGGGUCAUGCCGAAUGCCAGCCAUGGUCUCACACAUCUGUCUCCUCACUAGACAGCAAGUGCUGCUACAAGUUGUGCAACGUGCUUAAACAUCACACGCCGAACAGGAGGCAGAGCCUGUCUAACUUCAAAGCACACACUCUUCACUCUGUUAAACUGAUGGAGGGGAAAAUGAACAAAACCAAGUGCCGGCUGCGUCCAGGCUGAGCUGGAGGAAGGCCAUUACUGGAGAUCCCUGACUCCUGCCCAGCAUAUGAUGGAGGCCUGAGAAAAAAAUACACUAAGAGACAGAACUAAGAGAGAGACAGCAAGGUGCCAGGACAACCAAUGCCAGUGGAACCAUCAAAGGUGCUGGUCAGUCCAACCCACUGAUUUUUAUUGGUAAUCAAUUGGGGUUAAGGUAAACUAUGUGUGAGGAUAGGCAGUCAUGCAGUUUCUAUGGA